UCAAUCCUAUUUCUUCAGUCAGUUUGUCUUCAACCUGCUUAUCCCGUGUUUACGCUACUUGUACUCUGUGCUUGUUUUCAUUUCAUCAUGAUGACUGUGCUACUGCUCUGUUAUGCUUGCAUCUGAGUACUUAUUCCGCUGCUAGUCGUUCGUGACUUAGGAAUUUCCUCACCUUGAAAUUCCUCAGCGACGAAUUUGUAAAAUCGCCUAUUCACCCCCCUCUAGUCGAUAUAACGCACUAUCAGCAACACUUCAUGGAUUUAUAUGUUGUGUAUUUGGACCAAGAACUACAACUUAUAACAUUCAUUACAUCUCCUAUUUCUUAUGUAAACUAACUACUGGAUGAACUUGCAGGUUCACAAUGGAAGACUCUGCAAUUUACGGGAGCAAUGUUGCAAGGGAACGUCAGUACAAGCAUAGAGUGGAAUUCCUUCUACCUGAAGACUUGAAGAAGGCAGGCAUGAAUUUCAUGGCAUUGCAGAACUGGUGCCUCAAGUGCACUUUGAGCAUCAAUUUGGAAAAAGUCAAGGUUCCUUCCUUGUAUUUUACAAAAAAUGUUCUUACUCUUCAAUUUCAAACCUCUUGAAGCAAGUCUUAUGAGAUGCUUUGUCAUGUAAGUAUAGUCCUCAUCAUUUUUUGUCGAAAUGCCUCUAAAUGAUAUAAAUGAUGAUUCCUUUGUUCCCUCAUGCUAAUGGUGACUCCGGCAAGAGUAAAGACAUAGAAGGUUGGUUUCUUAGACCCAUUAAUGACCUCGAGAGAAUUAAUUUACAUCCAGGGGAACGUUGCCUUCGAACAUGUCAUCAUUACCAACAAUUUGCAGAUUUCUUGCUACUUCCAUCCGUCGAACAUUGUCACUAGAUCUUGAUUGUGAUUAUACCGAAGCUUAGCAGAGCAGACUACUCCCUCCAUCCAUAUAUAUAGGGCCUAAUCCAUUUUUCGAGAUUGUCUUUGACUAUCAACAAGAUUAACAAUAUAUGAGAUGUAUAAUGUCAAAACUAUAUCAUUGGAGGCUCCUCUCACGUACGAAUUUGAGGGUAUGCUUCGUGUAACAUGCAUGCCAUAUAUUAUUGCUCUAACAUGUGGUCAAAAUUAGCCUUGAAAAACGCAUUAGGCCCUAUAUAAAUGGAUAGAGGGAGUACCUUGAUUCUCACAAGAACUUUCUAAAUCCUAUGGAUUUGACAUUCAGUAAAGAAUUCUUAGGAAGGUAUUGGCGAUUUUGUUCCAUAACCCGUACCCUCCCAUUUUAUAAUUGAUUACACAACUGUCCAUCUUGUUUUAUAGAGCAUUUGUCGAGUACAACCAGCGUUUAGGAGCUAGCUUGUGGGCCAUCUAUAAUAAGAAAGAGUUACAACACAUAGCCGAUAUUAAGUAUCCCCAGGGGCCAGCUGAGAGCAGCCUUUCUGGCUACUAUAUUUGCAAACACAUGGCUAGACUCUACAGUGCGAAGGCUACAGACAACUUAAUCUCGGUACUUGACUACUUAAAUCAUGCACGACAAAUCUUAACAUAACAACACAGAUCCUAACAUCGAUGGACGAGCAACUGAUGCCUGGUGAUGACAUGAGGGAGAUAAGGACAAAGAUUGCUUCAUUCCACAACAAAUAUGACAUCCAUCGGAAGAAAGGAUAUAGGAUAUCAAACUCUUCCUAGUUAAUUAUGUGGUUCAAUGUCUGCGAUACUGCCUUUGCUAUAUGUGUUGUCCUUCGUACAUGGCAAUGUACGAUCAAAUUUGACUCUAUGUUAAUGUGGCUGUAAAAACAACCA
This is a long non-coding RNA of Aegilops tauschii subsp. strangulata, 1764 nucleotides long. RefSeq lists it as uncharacterized. NCBI's taxonomy places the organism in Eukaryota, Viridiplantae, Streptophyta, Magnoliopsida, Poales, Poaceae. The record is from RefSeq and is a predicted model, not a curated record.